RNAcentral lists this ribosomal RNA (420 nucleotides) under uncultured bacterium. RNAcentral describes it as "bacterial SSU rRNA". It matches the Rfam family "Bacterial small subunit ribosomal RNA", at positions 356 to 773 of the family's 1533-position model. The record is from RNAcentral.
AAGGAAUAUUGGACAAUGGGCGCAAGCCUGAUCCAGCCAUCCCGCGUGCUUGAUGAAGGCCCUCUGGGUUGUAAAGAGCUUUAGUCUGGGAAGAAACCGUUUUCUGCGGAAGACGCUGACGGUACCAGAAGAAUAAGCACCGGCUAACUCCGUGCCAGCAGCCGCGGUAAUACGGAGGGUGCAAGCGUUAUCCGGAACCACUGGGUUUAAAGGGUGCGUAGGCGGUCUGAUAAGUCAGAGGUGAAAGCCUGCAGCUUAACUGUAGAAUUGCCUUUGAUACUGUCAGACUUGAAUGGGGUCGAGGUCGGCGGAAUGUGGCAUGUAGCGGUGAAAUGCAUAGAUAUGCCAUAGAACACCAAUUGCGAAGGCAGCUGACUAGGCCUGUAUUGACGCUGAGGCACGAAAGCGUGGGGAGCAAAC